CAGCCAUCCUUGAAAGAGUGCGUAAUAGCUCACUGGUCAAGUGAUUCUGCGCCGACAAUUUAGCGGGGCUCAAGUUAUCCGCCGAAGCUGUGGCAUUCACAUGUGUGACCGGAAGGUUGUGUGGAUGGGUAGGGGAGCGUCGUGUGCGUGUUGAAGCGGUGGGGUGACCUGGUCGUGGAGUGCAUACGAGUGAGAAUGCAGGCAUGAGUAGCGAAUGACGGGUGAGAAACCCGUCCGCCGAUUAUCCAAGGGUUCCAGGGUCAAGUUAAUCUGCCCUGGGUUAGUCGGGACCUAAGGCGAGGCCGACAGGCGUAGUCGAUGGACAACGGGUUGAUAUUCCCGUACCGGCGAAACAACGUCCGUGCUGGGGCACGCGAUGCUAAGCAUGCGAGACUGUCUGCUGCCUUUCGGGGUGGUGGGUGGUUGAGUCUGUGAUCCGAGUGUGUAGUAGGCAAGCCGCGGAGGGACGCAGGAAGGUAGCUCAUCCUCAGCGUUGGUUGUCUGAGGCUAAGUGUGUAGGGUGGGGUGUAGGUAAAUCCGCAUUCCGUGAUGCCUGAGACACGAUGGGCCUGCACCGUUUGGGUGUGGGUUGAGUGAUCCUAUGCUGCCUAGAAAAGCUUCGUUGGCGAGUUGUUAGCCGCCCGUACCCUAAACCGACACAGGUGGAUAGGUAGAGAAUACCGAGGCGAUCGGGAUAAUCGUGGUGAAGGAACUCGGCAAAAUACCCCCGUAACUUCGGGAUAAGGGGGACCUGAUACGUGACCAGCCUUGCGUUGUGAGCGUUGAGGGUCGCAGAGACCAGGCCCAAGCGACUGUUUACUAAAAACACAGGUCCGUGCCAACUCGUAAGAGGAUGUAUACGGACUGACUCCUGCCCGGUGCUGGAAGGUUAAGGGGAACUGUCAGCCGCAUUUUGUGUGGUGAAGCGGUGAACUUAAGCCCCAGUAAACGGCGGUGGUAACUAUAACCAUCCUAAGGUAGCGAAAUUCCUUGUCGGGUAAGUUCCGACCUGCACGAAUGGAGUAACGAUUUGGGCGCUGUCUCCACCACGAACUCGGCGAAGUUGCACUACGAGUAAAGAUGCUCGUUACGCGCAGCAGGACGGAAAGACCCCGGGACCUUUACUAUAGUUUGGUAUUGGUGAUCGGUGUGACUUGUGUAGGAUAGGUGGGAGACUGUGAAGCCGGGACGCUAGUUUCGGUGGAGUCGCCGUUGAAAUACCACUCUGGUCACUCUGGUUAUCUAACCUAGGACCGUUAUCCGGUUCAGGGACAGUGCCUGAUGGGUAGUUUGACUGGGGCGGUCGCCUCCUAAAAGGUAACGGAGGCGCCCAAAGGUUCCCUCAGCCUGGUUGGCAAUCAGGUAGCGAGUGUAAGUGCACAAGGGAGCUUGACUGCGAGACUGACGGGUCGAGCAGGGACGAAAGUCGGGACUAGUGAUCUUCUGGUAGCGAAUGGAAGCGCCAGGACUCAACGGAUAAAAGGUACCCCGGGGAUAACAGGCUGAUCUUGCCCGAGCGUCCAUAGCGACGGCAUGGUUUGGCACCUCGAUGUCGGCUCGUCGCAUCCUGGGGCUGGAGUU
This 1581-nucleotide ribosomal RNA is filed under the name human oral metagenome. Its description in RNAcentral is "bacterial LSU rRNA". It matches the Rfam family "Bacterial large subunit ribosomal RNA", at positions 1113 to 2560 of the family's 2925-position model. The record is from RNAcentral.